GCCGGCGUAGCUCAAUAGGCAGAGGCGUCGUGCUUUUAACACGAAGGUUCCGGGUUCGAGACCCGGCGUUGGUA
This is a non-coding RNA of Baffinella frigidus, 74 nucleotides long. The record is from the annotation of a GenBank genome assembly. Lineage: Eukaryota; Cryptophyceae; Cryptomonadales; Baffinellaceae.